ACCUGACUGCUAUCGGAUUGGUACUAAGCCAUGUGAGUCAUUGUAGCAAUACAAGGCAUACGGCUCAGUAACACGUAGUCAAUCUGCCCUAUGGACGUGGAUAACCUCGGGAAACUGAGAAUAAUCCGCGAUAGAUCAUAAUGCCUGGAACGGUUUAUGGUCCAAAUGAUUCGUCGCCAUAGGAUGGGACUGCGGCCUAUCAGCUUGUUGGUGAGGUAAUGGCCCACCAAGGCUAUUACAGGUACGGGCUCUGAGAGGAGAAGCCCGGAGAUGGGUACUGAGACACGGACCCAGGCCCUAUGGGGCGCAGCAGGCGAGAAACCUCUGCAAUGUGCGCAAGCACGACAAGGUUAAUCCGAGUGUUUCCUGCUAAAGGAAUCUUUUGUUAGUUCUAAAACCACUGAUGAAUAAGGGGUGGGCAAGUUCUGGUGUCAGCCGCCGCGGUAAAACCAGCACCUCAAGUGGUCAGGAGGAUUAUUGGGCCUAAAGCAUCCGUAGCCGGUUCUGUAAGUUUCCGGUUAAAUCCACUAGCUCAACUAAUGGGCUGCCGGAAAUACUGCAGAACUAGGGAGUGGGAGAGGUAGACGGUACUCGGGAGGAAGGGGUAAAAUCCUUUGAUCUCUUGAUGACCACCUGUGGCGAAGGCGGUCUACCAGAACACGUUCGACGGUGAGGGAUGAAAGCUGGGGGAGCAAACCGGAUUAGAUACCCGGGUAGUCCCAGCUGUAAACGAUGCAGACUCGGUGAUGCACUGGCUUUUGGCCAGUGCAGUGCCGCAGGGAAGCCGUUAAGUUUGCCGCCUGGGAAGUACGUACGCAAGUAUGAAACUUAAAGGAAUUGGCGGGGGAGCACCACAAGGGGUGAAGCCUGCGGCUCAAUUGGAUUCAACGCCGAAA
This 896-nucleotide ribosomal RNA is filed under the name uncultured archaeon. Its description in RNAcentral is "bacterial SSU rRNA". It matches the Rfam family "Archaeal small subunit ribosomal RNA", at positions 21 to 923 of the family's 1478-position model. The record is from RNAcentral.